GAUGAACGCUGGCGGCGUGCCUAAUACAUGCAAGUCGAACGCACAGCGAAAGGUGCUUGCACCUUUCAAGUGAGUGGCGAACGGGUGAGUAACACGUGGACAACCUGCCUCAAGGCUGGGGAUAACAUUUGGAAACAGAUGCUAAUACCGAAUAAAACUCAGUGUCGCAUGACACAAAGUUAAAAGGCGCUUUGGCGUCACCUAGAGAUGGAUCCGCGGUGCAUUAGUUAGUUGGUGGGGUAAAGGCCUACCAAGACAAUGACGCAUAGCCGGGUUGAGAGACUGGUCGGCCACAUUGGGACUGAGGCACGGCCCAAACUCCUACGGGAGGCUGCAGUAGGGAAUCUUCCACAAUGGGCGAAAGCCUGAUGGAGCAACGCCGCGUGUGUGAUGAAGGCUUUCGGGUCGUAAAGCACUGUUGUAUGGGAAGAACAGCUAGAAUAGGGAAUGAUUUUAGUUUGACGGUACCAUACCAGAAAGGGACGGCUAAAUACGUGCCAGCCGCCGCAGUAA
RNAcentral lists this ribosomal RNA (513 nucleotides) under uncultured bacterium. RNAcentral describes it as "partial 16S ribosomal RNA". It matches the Rfam family "Bacterial small subunit ribosomal RNA", at positions 28 to 523 of the family's 1533-position model. The record is from RNAcentral.